GUACAUAGGGCACCACAUUAACACAGGAUGGCUCAGCCCACAGAAGAACGCUGUCAUUUUUCAUCAUACCCCAAAUGGAUUGGGUAUCUACAGGAUUUAUUGAAGAGCAAAACCAUUCACAAGACCUCAAGGUUUCUGUCUGUAAUGCCAAGGACAUGAAGUUAACUGUGUGGCGGAUGCUCUUACAUUGCAUUCUGUCAAACCGCCUUGCCAUUGUCACAACCUGGACUGGGGCAGAGCAUAAGGCCUGUUUCAGGGACUUGUUUCUGAAGACCAUUCUUCACAGUAAGUUAUGAUAGUAUUAAAUGUGUUACAUUUGUUUUCCCAACUUUUAAGUACAUUCUUAAACUCACGUGUAAGACCUUGUGCUAUUCAAAUCGAAUGCAAUGUUCUUUCUUUGUGUACAGAAGCCAUUCGGAAGAACCUGCAACCCAAGAUGCCAUGGAUAAGGGGGUCCAGAUUAAGGUCACCCUUUAGCUGAAAGGGGCCUCCGAUUGUGAAGGCGGGAGAAGGCGGCGGACAGGGGAGAGGGAUCGGCUGCAGUGAAGGUCAGCAUCAAGUCUCGGACCACCAAUCUCAAAACCAGCCUCUACCCCCAAGCCACAAGACUGAUCCAACAGCUGAACCCUGGGCUGACUCCUGCACCCUACCACACACUUACCAUUUAUUCAUAUUCUGUACGCACUUAAAUUACUUUAGUCUACCAGACCAAUGAAAUAGUUAUGUCACAUAACUGCACUGUAGUUAUUCCACUAAGCACAUGGGCAAAAAAAAAAGUCCAUACUAUAUGAAUGUAGGCUAUUUUGAUUUUUAUCUUAAGGCUAUUUUGGUUUGAUCUUAUUCUUAUUUACAUCUUAUUUUCUUUGAUCUGCAUGCUUCUUUUUGCACUUGUUUUGAUUGUUUUAUUGUUAGUACGUCGCAUAGUCAAGGAACUAUGACACAUUGAUUGCAGUCAGUUUUGUUCCCAUUGCACUGUGUGAGAAGCCUAUCUAUAUUAUUAUUCGUUCAAAUGGACAUGGCAUCCAAUCUAUCUUAAAUAAUAAACGUAAAUGAAUAAAUAAGUGGAGAAAGGGAGUGAAGGGUGGGUGAAGGGCGGGUGGGCUGUGUGAGGAAAACGACACUUGAACGGCAGGAGCACGGCUGCCGCUUGACAAAGUGGCAUAUCGCGGGCGCCCCAUGAGGCGAUGGGUACUCUGGAGGGACGCCGGCCACCCGAUUGCUCAUUGCUAACUGGGUUGCAAAGUGCAAAUAAAUGUUAAUUCAGGUUAGGGGGAGUUCCCGCUUGAAUUUGAUUAAAAGGGCAGUGAAUUCGCUCAUACUUUGAGAACUUGUUAGCAAGCUCCUGACACACAUCCUUUUUCUCUCUGAGAUUAUCAUUAACAAAAGACACGUGGAACCACUUUAAGUCUCAUUUAGUUAAUAGUCAUUUGCUCUGUGUUAUUAUGUGAUGUAUCAUAUAUUUCAUGUACACUGUAAUAGUUUAGUGUCAAUUAUUUCAUGACUAAUAAAUCCUAUUAGUGAGUGAAUGCAUC
This 1532-nucleotide long non-coding RNA is filed under the name Oncorhynchus kisutch (coho salmon). RNAcentral describes it as "lncRNA (ENSOKIG00005034570.1)". The record is from RNAcentral. Lineage: Eukaryota; Metazoa; Chordata; Actinopteri; Salmoniformes; Salmonidae.